UGGGUUAUGGCUCAGUGGUAGAGUGCUCGCCUAGUAUGUGUGAGGCCCUGGGUUUGAUCCUCAGCACCACAU
This 72-nucleotide transfer RNA is filed under the name Ictidomys tridecemlineatus (thirteen-lined ground squirrel). Its description in RNAcentral is "Spermophilus tridecemlineatus (thirteen-lined ground squirrel) tRNA". It matches the Rfam family "tRNA". From Rfam's summary of the family: Transfer RNA (tRNA) molecules are approximately 80 nucleotides in length. Their secondary structure includes four short double-helical elements and three loops (D, anti-codon, and T loops). Further hydrogen bonds mediate the characteristic L-shaped molecular structure. tRNAs have two regions of fundamental functional importance: the anti-codon, which is responsible for specific mRNA codon recognition, and the 3' end, to which the tRNAs corresponding amino acid is attached (by aminoacyl-tRNA synthetases). tRNAs cope with the degeneracy of the genetic code in two manners: having more than one tRNA (with a specific anti-codon) for a particular amino acid; and 'wobble' base-pairing, i.e. permitting non-standard base-pairing at the 3rd anti-codon position. The record is from Rfam by way of RNAcentral. Lineage: Eukaryota; Metazoa; Chordata; Mammalia; Rodentia; Sciuridae.